UGGGGAAUAUUGCGCAAUGGGCGAAAGCCUGACGCAGCGACGCCGCGUGGGUGAUGAAGGCCUUCGGGUCGUAAAACCCUGUCGGGUGGAACGAAUCUCCAUUCUGCAAAUAGUGGGAUGGAUUGACGGUACCACCGAAGGAAGCCCCGGCUAACUACGUGCCAGCAGCCGCGGUAAUACGUAGGGGGCGAGCGUUGUUCGGAUUUACUGGGCGUAAAGAGCGCGUAGGUGGUCCAAUAAGUCGGAGGUGAAAUCCCUCGGCUCAACCGAGGAUCCGCGUCCGAUACUGUCGGACUUGAGUGCAGGAGAGGAGAGCGGAAUUCCCAGUGUAGCGGUGAAAUGCGUAGAUAUUGGGAGGAACACCGGUGGCGAAGGCGGCUCUCUGGACUGCUACUGACACUGAGGCGCGAAAGCUAGGGGAGCAAACGGG
RNAcentral lists this ribosomal RNA (430 nucleotides) under uncultured denitrifying bacterium. RNAcentral's name for it is "bacterial SSU rRNA". It matches the Rfam family "Bacterial small subunit ribosomal RNA", at positions 355 to 776 of the family's 1533-position model. The record is from RNAcentral.